RNAcentral lists this ribosomal RNA (511 nucleotides) under Pichia kudriavzevii. RNAcentral's name for it is "eukaryotic LSU rRNA". The stretch from base 135 to 287 matches the Rfam family "5.8S ribosomal RNA". Lineage: Eukaryota; Fungi; Ascomycota; Pichiomycetes; Pichiales; Pichiaceae. The record is from RNAcentral.
UCCGUAGGGUGAACCUGCGGAAGGAUCAUUACUGUGAUUUAGUACUACACUGCGUGAGCGGAACGAAAACAAAAACACCUAAAAUGUGGAAUAUAGCAUAUAGUCGACAAGAGAAAUCUACGAAAAACAAACAAAACUUUCAACAACGGAUCUCUUGGUUCUCGCAUCGAUGAAGAGCGCAGCGAAAUGCGAUACCUAGUGUGAAUUGCAGCCAUCGUGAAUCAUCGAGUUCUUGAACGCACAUUGCGCCCCUCGGCAUUCCGGGGGGCAUGCCUGUUUGAGCGUCGUUUCCAUCUUGCGCGUGCGCAGAGUUGGGGGAGCGGAGCGGACGACGUGUAAAGAGCGUCGGAGCUGCGACUCGCCUGAAAGGGAGCGAAGCUGGCCGAGCGAACUAGACUUUUUUUCAGGGACGCUUGGCGGCCGAGAGCGAGUGUUGCGAGACAACAAAAAGCUCGACCUCAAAUCAGGUAGGAAUACCCGCUGAACUUAAGCAUAUCAAUAAGCGAAGGAA